This 1043-nucleotide long non-coding RNA is filed under the name Manihot esculenta (cassava). RNAcentral describes it as "long non-coding RNA (MESC_LNC012678)". The record is from RNAcentral. Lineage: Eukaryota; Viridiplantae; Streptophyta; Magnoliopsida; Malpighiales; Euphorbiaceae.
AAAAAUGUGGCUAAAUUAUGCUUGAUCAAAUACCCCCACACCUAGCUUUUUGCUUGUCCUCAAGCAACAAAUAACUUAGCUAAUCAAGCCCCUUUUUCCUUAGAGCCUAAGUACCACUUAAUCAGCCCCCCCUAGACUCCUAAGCUGAAGUAUCACAGUAUAGAGUACAUUCACCAAGGUCAUCCUCUCCUUUCCUUGUUUCCUUUCACCUCCUAUGGUCAAGAGAAAGGUUUCUAUCUCAAUCAUGCUUCUUCUUUUAUGUUAGGUUUAAUGUAACCCCUAGGAGUGACUUGCCACCUUCUCUUUUUCUCCUUUUUAUUUAAUUUAUAUUUUUAUUUUCAGCAGUACUUAUUCUUAUCCUUGCCUGAAAAAGUCAUUAACCUUUUUACGCGAUUGUGUACAUGGGUGAUACACCCCCGGUUACUCAGUUAGUCACUUGUUCAAGUGGCUACUAGCUCUGUUCAUAGUCUAGACCAUCGAAACUUAUUUGCUUGAAAAAGUUACUGACCUUUUUACGCGAUUGUGUACAUGGGUGAUACACCCCCGGUUACUCAGUCAGUUACUUCUCCAAGUGGCUAUUAGGCUCAGUUCAUAGUCUUAGACCAUUGGAACAAGUUUGUGAUUUGUGCUUUGUGCUGGUUUGUCAUGAUAGUUUGGGCAAAUCAGCUCAUAGGGAGUUACACUAGCUUUUUAUUUGCAUGUAUUUUUAUUUUUAUUUCCCUUUACCACAACAAGUUUAAGGGUUCAAUUCAAGUAAAGAACUUCCUAAGUGAAGGUAGCAUACUGUGAGUGAUUCAACUAAGGCUUAGAGGGGUGGCCAAUCAAUGGGGUCAUGAGAUAAGGAACUCUUUUAACUUCGUUAUCUAUGUUUGAGUAGAGCAAAAGCUAAGACAAAAUUCUGUGUGUAUGUGCAGAAAGUGUGAAGAGAAAAGAAAAAAAAUUCUGGUGUGUGCAAAAAGGGGUAAAAAUAAUGCAAAAAGCAACAAAAAGAAUGUAAAAGAAAACUAAAUAUGGUGAAAUCUGUGCAAAAUAUUCUCUNNNNN